Small nucleolar RNA from Tripterygium wilfordii, 93 nucleotides. RefSeq annotates it as small nucleolar RNA snoR20a. The transcript has a single exon. The record is from RefSeq and is a predicted model, not a curated record. Lineage: Eukaryota; Viridiplantae; Streptophyta; Magnoliopsida; Celastrales; Celastraceae.
GCCAGUGAUGACUGUUAUGGUAUCAGAUCAAAUGCAGGCUUUUUAAGAUUUGCAUAGAUGUUGAUAAUUUUAUGAACUAGGACGGUCUGAGGC